AACGAACGCUGGCGGCAGGCUUAACACAUGCAAGUCGAGCGAAUGGAUUAAGAGCUUGCUCUUAUGAAGUUAGCGGCGGACGGGUGAGUAACACGUGGGUAACCUGCCCAUAAGACUGGGAUAACUCCGGGAAACCGGGGCUAAUACCGGAUAACAUUUUGAACCGCAUGGUUCGAAAUUGAAAGGCGGCUUCGGCUGUCACUUAUGGAUGGACCCGCGUCGCAUUAGCUAGUUGGCGAGGUAACGGCUCACCAAGGCAACGAUGCGUAGCCGACCUGAGAGGGUGAUCGGCCACACUGGGACUGAGACACGGCCCAGACUCCUACGGUAGGCGGCAGUAGGGAAUCUUCCGCAAUGGACGAAAGUCUGACGGAGCAACGCCGCGUGAGUGAUGAAGGCUUUCGGGUCGUAAAACUCUGUUGUUAGGGAAGAACAAGUGCUAGUUGAAUAAGCUGGCACCUUGACGGUACCUAACCAGAAAGCCACGGCUAACUACGUGCCAGCCGCCGCGGUAA
Molecule: ribosomal RNA, 515 nt
Filed under: uncultured bacterium
Lineage: Bacteria
Description: partial 16S ribosomal RNA
Rfam family: Bacterial small subunit ribosomal RNA
Source: RNAcentral